This 238-nucleotide ribosomal RNA is filed under the name uncultured bacterium. RNAcentral's name for it is "partial 16S ribosomal RNA". It matches the Rfam family "Bacterial small subunit ribosomal RNA", at positions 96 to 334 of the family's 1533-position model. The record is from RNAcentral.
CGGCGGACGGGUGAGUAACGCGUGGGUAACCUGCCUCAUACAGGGGGAUAACAGUUAGAAAUGACUGCUAAUACCGCAUAAGACCACAGCACCGCAUGGUGCAGGGAUAAAAACUCCGGUGGUAUGAGAUGGACCCGCGUCUGAUUAGCUAGUUGGUAAGGUAACGGCUUACCAAGGCGACGAUCAGUAGCCGACCUGAGAGGGUGACCGGCCACAUUGGGACUGAGACACGGCCCAA